This is a small RNA of 153 nucleotides. It matches the Rfam family "A. fumigatus sRNA Afu_254".
UCAUACAUCCAAACGCAACUUAAAUAUCUUGACCGAAUUUUCAAGCAAACUCACCACCCAAACCCACUCAUCCAAAAAUGUCUCCCUGCAACUGCAACUGCUGCUCUGGUGACUGCAACUCCUGCGGCUGCGGCAGCUGCAGUGUAAGUUAAU